GACGAACGCUGGCGGCGUGCCUAAUACAUGCAAGUAGAACGCUGAAGUGAGGAGCUUGCUCUUCUUGGAUUAGUUGCGAACGGGUGAGUAACGCGUAGGUAACCUGCCUUUUAGCGGGGGAUAACUAUUGGAAACGAUAGCUAAUACCGCAUAACAAUGGAUGACACAUGUCUUUUAUUUGAAAGGUGCAAUUGCUCCACUACAAGAUGGACCUGCGUUGUAUUAGCUAGUAGGUGAGGUAAUGGCUCACCUAGGCGACGAUACAUAGCCGACCUGAGAGGGUGAUCGGCCAAAAUGGGACUGAGACAAGGCCCAGAAUCCUACGGGAGGCAGCAGUAGGGAAUCUUCGGCAAUGGGGGCAAACCUGACCGAGCAACGCCGCGUGAGGGAAGAAGGUUUUCGGAUCGUAAAGCUCUGUUGUAAGUCAAGAACGGGUGUGGGAGUGGAAAGUUCACACUGUGACGGUAGCUUAACAGAAAGGGACGGCUAACUACGUG
Molecule: ribosomal RNA, 497 nt
Filed under: uncultured bacterium
Lineage: Bacteria
Description: partial 16S ribosomal RNA
Rfam family: Bacterial small subunit ribosomal RNA
Source: RNAcentral